GGAUAACUGUGGCAAUUCUAGAGCUAAUACAUGCAACAAAGCUCCGACUUUCGGAAGGAGCGCAUUUAUUAGACCAAAACCAAUCGAGCUCUGCUCGUUUGUUGGUGACUCUGAAUAACUUUGCCGAUCGAACGGUCAUUGAACCGUCGACAUGUCUUUCAAGUGUCUGCCUUAUCAACUGUCGAUGGUAGUAUAUGGGACUACCAUGGUAAUAACGGGUAGCGGAGAAUUAGGGUUCGACUCCGGAGAGGGAGCCUGAGAAACGGCUACCACAUCCAAGGAAGGCAGCAGGCACGCAAAUUACCCACUCCCGGCACGGGGAGGUAGUGACGAAAAAUAACGAGACGGUUCUCUACGAGGCCCGUCAUCGGAAUGAAUACAACCUAAAUCCUUUAAUGAGGAUCUAUUGGAGGGCAAGUCUGGUGCCAGCAGCCGCGGUAAUUCCAGCUCCAAUAGCGUAUAUUAAAGUUGUUGCGGUUAAAAAGCUCGUAGUUGGAUCUGAGGUCAUGUGAAGCGGUCACCCAGUGGGUUGUUACUGCUUACACAGGCCAACUUUCUCUAGCGCACUCCUGGUGCUCUUAAUCGGGUGUCAGGCGUAGCUAGAACCUUUACUUUGAAAAAAUUAGAGUGCUCCAAGCAGACGAUUGUCUGAAUAUUUGUGCAUGGAAUAAUGGAAUAGGACCUCGAGUCCAUUUUGUUGGUUUUCGGUCCCGAGGUAAUGAUUAAGAGGGACAGACGGGGGCAUUCGUAUUGCGACGUUAGAGGUGAAAUUCUUGGAUCGUCGCAAGACGAACUACUGCGAAAGCAUU
Molecule: ribosomal RNA, 809 nt
Filed under: Trissonchulus sp. 68P18G16
Lineage: Eukaryota; Metazoa; Nematoda; Enoplea; Enoplida; Ironidae
Description: SSU rRNA
Rfam family: Eukaryotic small subunit ribosomal RNA
Source: RNAcentral